RNAcentral lists this transfer RNA (85 nucleotides) under Felis catus (domestic cat). It matches the Rfam family "tRNA". Rfam says of the family: Transfer RNA (tRNA) molecules are approximately 80 nucleotides in length. Their secondary structure includes four short double-helical elements and three loops (D, anti-codon, and T loops). Further hydrogen bonds mediate the characteristic L-shaped molecular structure. tRNAs have two regions of fundamental functional importance: the anti-codon, which is responsible for specific mRNA codon recognition, and the 3' end, to which the tRNAs corresponding amino acid is attached (by aminoacyl-tRNA synthetases). tRNAs cope with the degeneracy of the genetic code in two manners: having more than one tRNA (with a specific anti-codon) for a particular amino acid; and 'wobble' base-pairing, i.e. permitting non-standard base-pairing at the 3rd anti-codon position. Lineage: Eukaryota; Metazoa; Chordata; Mammalia; Carnivora; Felidae. The record is from Rfam by way of RNAcentral.
GCCUGGGUGGCUCAGUCGGUUAAGCAUCCGACUUCAGCUCAGGUCAUUAUCCCAUGGUUUGUGGGUUUGAGCCCUGCCUUGGGCU